GCGUUGGUAGUUCAAUGAUAGAAUUCUCACCUCCCAUGCGGGAGACCCAGGUUCAAUCCCAGCCAACACA
Molecule: transfer RNA, 70 nt
Filed under: Loxodonta africana (African savanna elephant)
Lineage: Eukaryota; Metazoa; Chordata; Mammalia; Proboscidea; Elephantidae
Rfam family: tRNA
About the family: Transfer RNA (tRNA) molecules are approximately 80 nucleotides in length. Their secondary structure includes four short double-helical elements and three loops (D, anti-codon, and T loops). Further hydrogen bonds mediate the characteristic L-shaped molecular structure. tRNAs have two regions of fundamental functional importance: the anti-codon, which is responsible for specific mRNA codon recognition, and the 3' end, to which the tRNAs corresponding amino acid is attached (by aminoacyl-tRNA synthetases). tRNAs cope with the degeneracy of the genetic code in two manners: having more than one tRNA (with a specific anti-codon) for a particular amino acid; and 'wobble' base-pairing, i.e. permitting non-standard base-pairing at the 3rd anti-codon position.
Source: Rfam by way of RNAcentral